This 433-nucleotide ribosomal RNA is filed under the name uncultured bacterium. RNAcentral describes it as "partial 16S ribosomal RNA". It matches the Rfam family "Bacterial small subunit ribosomal RNA", at positions 29 to 507 of the family's 1533-position model. The record is from RNAcentral.
AACGAACGCUGGCGGCAUGCCUAACACAUGCAAGUCGAACGAGACCUUCGGGUCUAGUGGCGCACGGGUGCGUAACGCGUGGGAACCUGCCCUUAGGUUCGGAAUAACUCCCCGAAAGGGGUGCUAAUACCGGAUAAUGUCUUCGGACCAAAGAUUUAUCGCCUUUGGAUGGGCCCGCGUUGGAUUAGCUAGUUGGUAGGGUAAAAGCCUACCAAGGCGACGAUCCAUAGCUGGUCUGAGAGGAUGAUCAGCCACACUGGGACUGAGACACGGCCCAGACUCCUACGGGAGGCAGCAGAGGGGAAUAUAGGACAAUGGGCGAAAGGCUGAUACAGCAAUGCCGCGUGAGUGAUGAAGGCCUUAGGGUUGUAAAGCUGUUUUACCCGGGAUGAUAAUGACAGUACCGGGAGAAUAAGCUCCGGCUAACUACGUG